Molecule: ribosomal RNA, 637 nt
Filed under: uncultured bacterium
Lineage: Bacteria
Description: bacterial SSU rRNA
Rfam family: Bacterial small subunit ribosomal RNA
Source: RNAcentral
AUGCUUAACACAUGCAAGUCGAACGGGAUUAUUAUCUUCGGAUGAUAUGAGAGUGGCGAACGGGUGAGUAACACGUAAGAAUCUACCUUUAGGACGGGGAUAACUUCUGGAAACGGAUGCUAAUACCCGAUAUGCUGUGGAGUGAAAGGAAUUUCGCCUAAAGAUGAUCUUGCGUCUGAUUAGCUAGAUAGUGUGGUAAUGGCGCACUAUGGCGACGAUCAGUAGCUGGUCUGAGAGGAUGGACAGCCACAUUGGAACUGAGACACGGUCCAAACUCCUACGGGAGGCAGCAGUGGGGAAUUUUCCGCAAUGGGCGAAAGCCUGACGGAGCGACGCUGCGUGAAGGAUGACGGCCUGCGGGUUGUAAACUUCUUUUCUCGAAGAAGAAUAAAUGACGGUAUUCGAGGAAUAAGCAUCGGCUAACUCUGUGCCAGCAGCCGCGGUAAGACAGAGGAUGCAAGUGUUAUUCGGAUUGAUUGGGCGUAAAGCGUCUGUAGGCGGUUUGGAAAGUCUUUUGUGAAAUUCUUCAGCUCAACUGGGGGUCCGCAAAAGAAACUUCUAGGCUUGAGGGAAGUAGAGGUACAGGGAAUUUCCGGUGGAGCGGUGAAAUGCGUAGAUAUCGGAAGGAACACCAGUG